Molecule: ribosomal RNA, 492 nt
Filed under: uncultured bacterium
Lineage: Bacteria
Description: partial 16S ribosomal RNA
Rfam family: Bacterial small subunit ribosomal RNA
Source: RNAcentral
AGUGAACGCUGGCGGUAGGCCUAACACAUGCAAGUCGAACGGCAGCACAGUAAGAGCUUGCUCUUACGGGUGGCGAGUGGCGGACGGGUGAGGAAUACAUCGGAAUCUACUUUUUCGUGGGGGAUAACGUAGGGAAACUUACGCUAAUACCGCAUACGACCUACGGGUGAAAGCAGGGGAUCUUCGGACCUUGCGCGAUUGAAUGAGCCGAUGUCGGAUUAGCUAGUUGGCGGGGUAAAGGCCCACCAAGGCGACGAUCCGUAGCUGGUCUGAGAGGAUGAUCAGCCACACUGGAACGGAGACACGGUCCAGACGCCUACGAGAGGCAGCAGUGGGGAAUAUUGGACAGUGGUCGCAAGCCUGAUCCAGCCAUACCGCGUGGGUGAAGAAGGCCUUCGGGUUGUAAAGCCCUUUUGUUGGGAAAGAAAAGCAGCAGGUUAAGACCCCGCUGUUCUGACGGUACCCAAAGAAUAAGCACCGGCUAACUUCGUG